Molecule: ribosomal RNA, 253 nt
Filed under: uncultured bacterium
Lineage: Bacteria
Description: partial 16S ribosomal RNA
Rfam family: Bacterial small subunit ribosomal RNA
Source: RNAcentral
UACGUAGGGUGCGAGCGUUGUCCGGAAUUAUUGGGCGUAAAGGGUGCGUAGGCGGUUUGGUAAGUCUCUUGUGAAAUCUAUGGGCUCAACUCAUAGUCUGCAAGGGAAACUGCCGGGCUUGAGUGUGGGAGAGGUGAGUGGAAUUUCCGGUGUAGCGGUGAAAUGCGUAGAUAUCGGAAGGAACACCUGUGGCGAAAGCGGCUCACUGGACCACAACUGACGCUGAUGCACGAAAGCUAGGGGAGCAAACAGG